GAUGAACGCUGACAGAAUGCUUAACACAUGCAAGUCAACUUGAACUUCGGUUUGGGUGGCGGACGGGUGAGUAACGCGUAAAGAACUUGCCUCACAGAUAGGGACAACAUUUGGAAACGAAUGCUAAUACCUGAUAUUAUGAUUUUAGGGCAUCCUAGAAUUAUGAAAGCUAUAUGCGCUGUGAGAGAGCUUUGCGUCCCAUUAGCUAGUUGGAGAGGUAACGGCUCACCAAGGCGAUGAUGGGUAGCCGGCCUGAGAGGGUGAUCGGCCACAAGGGGACUGAGACACGGCCCUUACUCCUACGGGAGGCAGCAGUGGGGAAUAUUGGACAAUGGACCAAGAGUCUGAUCCAGCAAUUCUGUGUGCACGAUGAAGUUUUUCGGAAUGUAAAGUGCUUUCAGUUGGGAAGAAAAAAAUGACGGUACCAACAGAAGAAGUGACGGCUAAAUACGUGCCAGCAGCCGCGGUAAUACGUAUGUCACAAGCGUUAUCCGGAUUUAUUGGGCGUAAAGCGCGUCUAGGUGGUUAUAUAAGUCUGAUGUGAAAAUGCAGGGCUCAACUCUGUAUUGCGUUGGAAACUGUGUAACUAGAGUACUGGAGAGGUAAGCGGAACUACAAGUGUAGAGGUGAAAUUCGUAGAUAUUUGUAGGAAUGCCGAUGGGGAAGCCAGCUUACUGGACAGAUACUGACGCUGAAGCGCGAAAGCGUGGGUAGCAAACAGG
This 722-nucleotide ribosomal RNA is filed under the name uncultured Fusobacterium sp. Its description in RNAcentral is "bacterial SSU rRNA". It matches the Rfam family "Bacterial small subunit ribosomal RNA", at positions 28 to 776 of the family's 1533-position model. Lineage: Bacteria; Fusobacteriati; Fusobacteriota; Fusobacteriia; Fusobacteriales; Fusobacteriaceae. The record is from RNAcentral.